UGUCUUCUGUGGCUUCAGCGUUGCCUAGUGCAGGCUGCCAUUCAACAAACGCAUUGUCAGCAGUCAACCAAAAGAAACCCAUUGGCCACCAUGCCCUGAGGACUAACCCUGACGCAGAUGCCCUUCCAGAUGCCCUCAAUAGACUGUUUCCAUCGCCCCAGCCUGGGAGGAGAAGCACUGCUGCCUAUGCACUCCAUUUACAGAGUUAUAGAGUGGAAAAACUCCCAAUCUCUUUUUCUUCUCUCUUGUAUUUUCAGAAAAACAUUGACUUCCAAAAACAAAAGACGCAUGUUGGCAAGAAUGCAGAGAGAAGGGAACGCUUAUACACUGUUGGUGAACUGUCACCCCUACAACUCAGCUUGCAACCAGCCCUGGCCACCACCAGUUUCCCCACACUGAGCUGAAUAUUGGACAUGCCCAUCUUAGACAUUCCAGCCCAUUCUGAAAUUUCACAUCGAUUCACCCAACAAAGUCUGAAGUUCCAGGGCAAUUUAUCUGGAAAAGCUCACCUGGAAUCAUGUGUCAUUUCAACCAACAACUGUUGAAGAGGACGUGGCAUUAAAACCAAGGUUAUCAAUUA
Molecule: long non-coding RNA, 580 nt
Filed under: Pongo abelii (Sumatran orangutan)
Lineage: Eukaryota; Metazoa; Chordata; Mammalia; Primates; Hominidae
Description: lincRNA
Source: RNAcentral